GACGAACGCUGGCGGCGUGCUUAACACAUGCAAGUCGAACGGGCCUGUCUUCUUUUUUGGGGGGUGGGUUGAGUGGCGAACGGGUGAGUAUCACGUGAGUAACCUGCCCUUCGGUCCUGGAUAACCGCUUGAAAGGGCGGCUAAUACGGGGUGGUCCGGUUGGUCCGCAUGGGCUGGUCGGGAUAGAUUCACUGUUUUUGGUGUUUCGGCGGGGGAUGGGCUCGCGGCCUAUCAGCUUGUUGGUGGGGUGAUGGCCUACCAAGGCGGUGACGGGUAGCCGGCCUGAGAGGGUGGGCGGCCCCACUGGGACUGAGAUACGGCCCAGACUCCUGCGGGAGGCAGCAGUGGGGGGUAUUGCACAAUGGGCGGAAGCCUGAUGCAGCGACGUCGCGUGAGGGAUGGAGGCCUUCGGGUUGUGAACCUCUGUUUCCGGUGGUGAAGGCCCUGUCCGUGUGGUGGGGUUGACGGUAGCCGGGGAUGAAGCGCCGGCUAACUACGU
RNAcentral lists this ribosomal RNA (499 nucleotides) under uncultured bacterium. Its description in RNAcentral is "partial 16S ribosomal RNA". It matches the Rfam family "Bacterial small subunit ribosomal RNA", at positions 28 to 506 of the family's 1533-position model. The record is from RNAcentral.